Molecule: ribosomal RNA, 458 nt
Filed under: Sphingomonas paucimobilis
Lineage: Bacteria; Pseudomonadati; Pseudomonadota; Alphaproteobacteria; Sphingomonadales; Sphingomonadaceae
Description: bacterial SSU rRNA
Rfam family: Bacterial small subunit ribosomal RNA
Source: RNAcentral
AUCUGCCCUUAGGUUCGGAAUAACAGCUGGAAACGGCUGCUAAUACCGGAUGAUAUCGCGAGAUCAAAGAUUUAUCGCCUGAGGAUGAGCCCGCGUUGGAUUAGGUAGUUGGUGGGGUAAAGGCCUACCAAGCCGACGAUCCAUAGCUGGUCUGAGAGGAUGAUCAGCCACACUGGGACUGAGACACGGCCCAGACUCCUACGGGAGGCAGCAGUGGGGAAUAUUGGACAAUGGGCGCAAGCCUGAUCCAGCAAUGCCGCGUGAGUGAUGAAGGCCCUAGGGUUGUAAAGCUCUUUUACCCGGGAAGAUAAUGACUGUACCGGGAGAAUAAGCCCCGGCUAACUCCGUGCCAGCAGCCGCGGUAAUACGGAGGGGGCUAGCGUUGUUCGGAAUUACUGGGCGUAAAGCGCACGUAGGCGGCUUUGUAAGUCAGAGGUGAAAGCCUGGAUCUCAACUCC